GCCAUUCAUUAUAUCUUUUCCUCUCUUUAUAUAUAUACAUAUAGAGAGAGAGAGAGAAUUAGGUUACUACACUAUCUAUAGUACCGGAGUUCUGAUAUUAUAAUAUUAUUUUCGAUGUUAGGAUGUUCAAAUCAAUGAUUCAUGACGUUGAAUAUAAUUUAAAGUGUAUAAAGUUUUUUAAAAAAUAAAAUUUUAAUUUUUUUUCGACAUCAUUUACUUAGUAAGUAAAUCAUGUCAAAAUAGAUGGUUGAAAUUGAAUAAAUUUAAAAUUUUGAAAAUAGAACAUUCAAAUUCAAGAUCAAGAAUAUUGAUCUUAAUUUAGAUAGUUUAAAGUAUUUUUUAUCAAAAUUUAAAUAAAUUUAGAAUUUUCUACACCAUUAAACUGAACAUUCUAAGAUUGAUAACAAAACUACAGUAUCGGAGCUCCGAUAUUAUAGA
This 438-nucleotide long non-coding RNA is filed under the name Ananas comosus (pineapple). RNAcentral describes it as "long non-coding RNA (ACOM_LNC015883)". The record is from RNAcentral. Lineage: Eukaryota; Viridiplantae; Streptophyta; Magnoliopsida; Poales; Bromeliaceae.